UAGGGAAUCUUCGGCAAUGGGGGGAACCCUGACCGAGCAACGCCGCGUGAGUGAAGAAGGUUUUCGGAUCGUAAAGCUCUGUUGUUAAGGAAGAACGAGUGUGAGAAUGGAAAGUUCAUACUGUGACGGUACUUAACCAGAAAGGGACGGCUAACUACGUGCCCGCAGCCGCGGUAAUACGUAGGUCCCGAGCGUUGUCCGGAUUUAUUGGGCGUAAAGCGAGCGCAGGCGGUUAGAUAAGUCUGAAGUUAAAGGCAGUGGCUCAACCAUUGUAGGCUUUGGAAACUGUUUAACGUGAGUGCAGAAGGGGAGAGUGGGAGUGCAUGUGUAGCGGUGAAAUGCGUAGAUAUAUGAAGGGACACCUGUGGCAAAUGCGGCUCUCUGGUCGGUAACUAUCGCUGAGGCUCGAAAGCGUGGGGAGCGAACAGG
RNAcentral lists this ribosomal RNA (429 nucleotides) under Bacteroidota bacterium. RNAcentral describes it as "Bacteroidetes bacterium partial 16S ribosomal RNA". It matches the Rfam family "Bacterial small subunit ribosomal RNA", at positions 355 to 776 of the family's 1533-position model. Lineage: Bacteria; Pseudomonadati; Bacteroidota. The record is from RNAcentral.